Molecule: long non-coding RNA, 228 nt
Filed under: Mytilus galloprovincialis (Mediterranean mussel)
Lineage: Eukaryota; Metazoa; Mollusca; Bivalvia; Mytilida; Mytilidae
Source: RNAcentral
UUAGUCUUGUAUUAUUUUAAUUUUAGUUUCUUGUGUACAAUUUGGAAAUUAGUAUGGCGUUCAUUAUCACUGAACUAGUAUAUAUUUGUUUAGGGGCCAGGUUGCGGGAAUUUCUUGCUACAUUGAAGACCUGUUGGUGACCUUCUGUUGUUGUUUUUUUCUAUGGUCGGGUUGUUGUCUCUUUGACACAUUCCCCAUUUCCAUUCUCAAUUUUAUUGACCCUUAUUU